UUUAAACGUAGCCAUGAGUUUUCAUAUCCAAAUUUGAUUGUUCGUCAUUUGAAUUUUUUAUGAUUAAUAUUUUUAGUGUUAUUAGAUGAUAAAAACAUAAAUAGUACUAUUAUGCGUGACUUAUUUUUUAAAAUAUUUUUAAAAAUUUCAAAUAAGACGAACGAUUAAAAUUGGACACGAAAACUCAUGGCUGCGUUAAAA
Molecule: non-coding RNA, 201 nt
Organism: Oryza meridionalis
Lineage: Eukaryota; Viridiplantae; Streptophyta; Magnoliopsida; Poales; Poaceae
Source: Rfam